Long non-coding RNA from Ictalurus punctatus (channel catfish), 200 nucleotides. RefSeq lists it as uncharacterized. The transcript is spliced from 2 exons. The record is from RefSeq and is a predicted model, not a curated record. NCBI's taxonomy places the organism in Eukaryota, Metazoa, Chordata, Actinopteri, Siluriformes, Ictaluridae.
UGCUAAUUGAGUUAAUGGUGAAAAACAGAAAAUAAUGAUAAAGUACCGCAACAUAUUAUAAUGUAAUUUUUUUUUCCUGAAUUGAAGGAUUUUUCAAUGAUUUGACGAUGUAACUUCUAAAAGAUUCUUCCUUUAGUUGCUUGGUGAAUAUCACCUCUCCUGCCUGGCCUCUCUGCUCCCUCCCAUCUCCAGCGGCAUGG